This 253-nucleotide ribosomal RNA is filed under the name uncultured bacterium. RNAcentral's name for it is "partial 16S ribosomal RNA". It matches the Rfam family "Bacterial small subunit ribosomal RNA", at positions 524 to 776 of the family's 1533-position model. The record is from RNAcentral.
UACGUAGGGGGCAAGCGUUGUCCGGAAUCAUUGGGCGUAAAGAGCGCGUAGGCGGCCCAGUAAGUCCGCUCUGAAAGUCAGAGGCUCAACCUCUGAAUGCGGGUGGAUACUGCUGGGCUAGAGUCCGGAAGAGGCGAGUGGAAUUCCUGGUGUAGCGGUGAAAUGCGCAGAUAUCAGGAGGAACACCGGUGGCGAAGGCGGAUCUCUGGGCCAUUACUGACGCUGAGGAGCGAAAGCGUGGGGAGCGAACAGG